ACAUGCAGUCGAGCGGGGAGAGUGCUUUCGGGUGCUCUUCUAGCGGCGGACGGGUGAGUAACGCGUGAGCAAUCUGUCCCAGACAGGGGGAUAACAGAUGGAAACAUCUGCUAAUACCGCAUAAGACCACGAGGUCACAUGGCCUCGAGGUAAAAGGAGAAAUCCGGUUUGGGGUGAGCUCGCGUCCGAUUAGCCAGUUGGCGGGGUAACGGCCCACCAAAGCAACGAUCGGUAGCCGGCCUGAGAGGGCGAUCGGCCACACUGGAACUGAGAGACGGUCCAGACUCCUACGGGAGGCAGCAGUGGGGAAUAUUGGGCAAUGGGCGAAAGCCUGACCCAGCAACGCCGCGUGAGGGAAGAAGGUUUUCGGAUUGUAAACCUCUGUCCUUGGUGACGAAAAAAAUGACGGUAGCCAAGGAGGAAGCCCCGGCUAACUACGUGCCAGCAGCCGCGGUAAUACGUAGGGGGCAAGCGUUGUCCGGAAUGACUGGGCGUAAAGGGCGUGUAGGCGGCCGAUUAAGUCUGGAGUGAAAGUCCUGCUUUCAAGGUGGGAAUUGCUUUGGAGACUGGUUGGCUUGAGUGCGGAAGAGGUAAGUGGAAUUCCCAGUGUAGCGGUGAAAUGCGUAGAGAUUGGGAGGAACACCAGUGGCGAAGGCGACUUACUGGGCCGUAACUGACGCUGAGGCGCGAAAGCGUGGGGAGCGAACAGGAUUAGAUACCCUGGUAGUCCACGCGGUAAACGAUGAAUGCUAGGUGUAGCGGGUAUCGACCCCUGCUGUGCCGCAGUAAACACAAUAAGCAUUCCGCCUGGGGAGUACGGCCGCAAGGUUGAAACUCAAAGGAAUUGACGGGGGCCCGCACAAGCAGCGGAGCAUGUCGUUUAAUUCGAUGCAACGCGAAGAACCUUACCAGGUCUUGACAUCCAACUAAACUCAUGGAGACAUGAGGUCCCUUCGGGGGGAGUUGAGACAGGUGGUGCAUGGUUGUCGUCAGCUCGUGUCGUGAGAUGUUUGGGUUAAGUCCCGC
Molecule: ribosomal RNA, 1026 nt
Filed under: bacterium enrichment culture clone aHCH2_E12
Lineage: Bacteria
Description: bacterial SSU rRNA
Rfam family: Bacterial small subunit ribosomal RNA
Source: RNAcentral